This is a non-coding RNA of Pelobates cultripes (western spadefoot toad), 230 nucleotides long. The record is from the annotation of a GenBank genome assembly. NCBI's taxonomy places the organism in Eukaryota, Metazoa, Chordata, Amphibia, Anura, Pelobatidae.
UGUAAACCUUGCAGUUUCUCUGGAACUAGGGACACUGCACCCAGACCACUUCAAUAAGCUGAAGUGGUCUAGGUACCUAUAGUGUCCAUUUAAAGUGUCCCACUCUCUACAUCAGAAAACAUUUUAACUCUGUUCUAUUUAUAAAUUCAGUCACAAAACUGAUUCGUAACAUUUGUCAUAAGGGUACAACUGAAUUCUGGUAAAUAAAUGUAGUUUGCAGUAGUGUUUAU